Molecule: ribosomal RNA, 468 nt
Filed under: uncultured bacterium
Lineage: Bacteria
Description: partial 16S ribosomal RNA
Rfam family: Bacterial small subunit ribosomal RNA
Source: RNAcentral
GACGAACGCUGGCGGCGUGCUUAACACAUGCAAGUCGAACGGAAAGGCCCUGCUUUUGUGGGGUGCUCGAGUGGCGAACGGGUGAGUAACACGUGAGUAACCUGCCCUUGACUUUGGGAUAACUUCCGGAAACUGGGGCUAAUACCGGCUCGGAGCUCCUGCAGCAUGGUGGGGGAUGGAAAGUUCCGGCGGUUGGGAAUGGAGUCGCGGCUUAUCAGCUUGUUGGAGGGGUAGUGGCUUACCAAGGCUUUGACGGGUAGCCGGCCUGAGAGGGGGACCGGCCACAUUGGGACUGAGAUACGGCCCAGACUCCUACGGGAGGCAGCAGUGGGGAAUAGUGCACAAUGGGCGGAAGCCUGAGGCAGCAACCCCGCGUGCGGGAUGACGGCCUUCGGGUUAUAAACCGCUUUCGCCUGUGACGAAGCGUGAGUGACGGUAAUGGGUAAAGAAGCACCGGCUAACUACGUG